CACGUAGGGCGCGAGCGUUGUCCGGAAUUAUUGGGCGUAAAGAGCUCGUAGGCGGCCUGUUGCGUCCGCUGUGAAAGCCCGGGGCUUAACCCCGGGUCGGCAGUGGAUACGGGCAGGCUAGAGGUAGGUAGGGGAGAAUGGAAUUCCCGGUGUAGCGGUGAAAUGCGCAGAUAUCGGGAAGAACACCCGUGGCUAAGGCGGCUCUCUAGUACGGUACUGACGCUGAGACGCGAAAGCGUGGGGAGCGAACAGG
Molecule: ribosomal RNA, 253 nt
Filed under: uncultured bacterium
Lineage: Bacteria
Description: partial 16S ribosomal RNA
Rfam family: Bacterial small subunit ribosomal RNA
Source: RNAcentral